RNAcentral lists this long non-coding RNA (1345 nucleotides) under Carica papaya (papaya). RNAcentral's name for it is "long non-coding RNA (CPAP_LNC006414)". The record is from RNAcentral. Lineage: Eukaryota; Viridiplantae; Streptophyta; Magnoliopsida; Brassicales; Caricaceae.
UCAAAAGUUUCCAAUCUUCUAUCAAUCAAGGUUUAAAUUAAAUGCAAGAAGACAGUAAACAGUACCCAGACAAACGUGAAAUGAAGCCACACAAAUCAUCGGAAAACCCCAAAAUAAUUAAUUAAAAGUGGUCCAUGGAAAAACCAACUCCAGGAAGAUCUCAAUAUAAGGUAAAAGGACCUGUCUUCACAGAAACAGCUAAAGCGCAUACCGAUGUAGCCUUGUUGCCACAAAAUCAAAACAAAGGACAAAGAUUCCCAGCUAUCCAAAAGCGCAGAGAGCUGAAUCCGAAUUUCAAAUUCCAAAAACUAUGAAUUAUUGUUCUUGAAAAAGGAAACGUACAACCAAUUUUAAAGGCAAUUAUCUAAAUAGAGUAAGCACUUUUUUACUUUUUUUUUUCUCUCAACUUUUCCCAUUAACCAAACAGCCCCUCAAAAUUUUCAAAUCAAAACAUCUGCCUGUCAUAGGAAAUCAAUAGAUUAAAAUAAACUUAUACCAUUUCUUUAACUCAACUCGGAGCUGAGAAAAAUCAUCUAGUUAGAAAUCUGAGUAGCAGAUGCAAACUUCAACUAACCAACACACCAACCGAAAAGGAAAAUGAAUAAACGACCCAAACAUUAAUUUUCUCAGGGAAUAGAAACUAAAAAUAUACCACGCAGCUCAGCAAAUGCAUACCCCGGAGAUGCACAUUAACAGAAACCUGUUCACCUCCGAGGCAAAUCAACAGGUGUAAACAGCCAGUUUCCCAUUGGUCAACGAGAUCAACGGAAGAACGGGAAAACCAACAGAGAUCAGAAAUAGAGAAACGCUAACAACGAGCCAAUGUUUUCCUUUCUCUUGCUUCAGAGUCCGACUCAACGUGCCGUUUAGAAAAGGCAAAGUAUGAUACCUUGCCCAUUAUCCGCCAUUGGAUCUCUAGCCAUAGAUCUAAAAGGCGAAGAACUGAAGAGAGAAUAUUAAAGGCCCAAAAAAGACAGUACGGAGAGAGAGAAUGGUGAAAAAGCUAGAGAGAGAAAGCUCCUUUUAUUUCUAGAGAGAGAGGAGAAAGAGACGGAGAAAGAGAGGGAAAGAGAGCGAGUGUUUUUCUGGUAGCAGUUCAGAUUUUGUAUUUUUCUGGUUCUCGUGCUUCUCUUUGAGAAGGGAAGGUUAACGGGGAGUCAAAAGAUCAGAGAAGGGUUGGUAAAUGAUUUGAAUCGGACGGCUCAAAAUGAGAGACGGAUGAUCAGGUGGUCACAUCAGAAAAACGCGGGAGCUGUGCUUCUCGCAAUAGUUGACGCCACCCCCACGCCGUAAGAAAGUUAAGAAUCUCAAUCAUGAAUCAUCAGAUCCAAACGUAAAAAAAAAA